Mus musculus (house mouse) is the source of this 812-nucleotide long non-coding RNA. RefSeq annotates it as predicted gene, 39871. Lineage: Eukaryota; Metazoa; Chordata; Mammalia; Rodentia; Muridae. The record is from RefSeq and is a predicted model, not a curated record. The transcript has 2 exons.
CAUGUUUGAAGCUUUCCACACUCCUUCGAGUCUCCAAGAGCCUUGUGAGAAGAGCAGGAGUUAUUCCGCUGAUCUCCAAAGCUUGCCUCAUCCAAGGGCUAAUCUUCCGGUAUGGAGGACGGUGGAACUCAGGAGGCCGUGAGUGAAGCAGAGAUCUGGACUAGAACCUUGGUUCUGUCCUAAUGCUGCCACAGCUGUCUUCUUUCUGAGUCCUUCUGCGGGGCCUUGCAUACAGUCUACAGGAGACCUUACUUUCUGUCAAUGUCACAGGCCGGGACUCUCAUUUUGAGGCCCAGCAAGGAAAACAGAUUUUCAGAACAUGGCUGAAAGCUUUCAUGGAGUGAUGUCACCUGCUGGAAAGUGCCUUGAUCUUGACACCAGAUUCCUGACUUAAUUGAAGAAAAAUCACUUAACCUCUCUGAACCUGAACCUACUUUGUGACAUGGAACUCAUGAUAAUCUAUGCUUUUGGUCUCAACGGUGGUUGAGAGAUUCACAGGAAGCAAUGGAUGUGAAAGUUCUGUGUAAGCCCCAGCACAUGGCUACAGGUAUAAGAGCCUGGACUCUUAGUCUCUUCUAAAACAGACUUAAUGGAAAAGGAUCUGAUAAAUUCAGGCAUACUGAACUUAGUCCUGCGAUGUCUCAGAGUGUCAAAGCUCUUGCCAUGCAAACCCGACAACCUGAGUUUGAGCCCCAGAACCCAUGGCGGAAGGAGAGAACCAGUUCCCGAAAGUUAUCCUCUGAUUUCUGCAUGCUCUGGUGAUACCUCACCACUAACGCGCGCGCGCAAGCACACACACACACACACACACA